Molecule: long non-coding RNA, 3224 nt
Filed under: Nicotiana tabacum (common tobacco)
Lineage: Eukaryota; Viridiplantae; Streptophyta; Magnoliopsida; Solanales; Solanaceae
Description: long non-coding RNA (NTAB_LNC002251)
Source: RNAcentral
NNACACCAUUGCAAUUGGACACUUUGCUUACUGAAGGAAAUACAUCACGAUUUUGGCCGGUUGGUUCUGUGGAAGAUUUUGGUCACUAUUUUCUACUUAGUAUUUUGACCCUCUGAAGGUAAAAAAAAACAUACAUAUUUUUAUCUUGAUAAUUGUGAAUGCUUAGGGGAUUUGGUGCCUGUAAUCCUAGAGUAGUUGAGCAAAUAAACUUUUAGUAUUCUUGGCUCUGUAAUGUUGUCAGCACUAUGUUAUUAACUUUAUUCCUGUGGUGCCUAAUUGUUCUCUACUAAUUCAUACUCUCCCUUUUCUUCCACUUAUCUAUUUCUUUUUAGUUUCCACAUUCUUCUAUUUAUCUAUUACAGAGGCAAGCUAGCAAAUUUAGUUAAAAUUCUUUCAAAAUUACAGUAAAUAAAUGAGUAGAUGAUGCUGUAUUUCUUGGUGUAUUAUUGUUUACUCUAUCGUCACAUGUGUUAUAUGAGCUGGAUUUAAUGGUAUUGUGGUGUUGAAGUCACUUGAAGCGCAGCUUGAACCAAUUUCCAGUGCAUCUGUUAUCUGGGAAUGCUAUAGAGGUUGCGCGCUUGCAAGAGUUUGAUUCUGAGCUAUAUAUUUUUGGUCCUACCAUUACGAAGGUAUUCUCUGCUACCAUAUGGUGCAACUGUANNNNNNNNNNNNNNNNNNNNNNNNNUCAUUUGCAUUCCAUUUCUGUUCCUAAAUGGAUCUAAGAUAUCUGAUUGCAUAUUUAAACUAUUUGCAUCCACUUUGUGCCUUUUUCUGUUUUCGUAGAUUUGACAUUUAUAAUUUGUUUUCUGUUAAACCAUCUCCGACUUGGAUAAUAGAUUGAGCCUGUUAAAGACUAAUAUUUUCUUGUGUGACACAUCUUGCACAAUUCUGGACAUAGUAAACAUGCACAACUCAUCAGUCCAAUUCAAUCCAACAGAGGUAAAUCCUGUAAUUGAAAAAGUUCGUUAUUCUGCUACUAAUGAUUAAUAUACACAGGUGAUGGUUUGUUUUGCAUCCGUUAAUCAUACAGAUAAAGGUGACUUUAUGCUGAAAAGGAAUUAAUGAUAGUCAUUUUUGGUAGUUCUUUGUUAUUGUUACCGGUGAAACAGUGAAUUAAAUAUUUUACAUUGCUGUCCUUUCUAGCCAUAGGCAUGCUAUAGCAAUUUCGUCUUAUGAGUUUGGUUCAAAUGGAUACCUAACACCUCUUAUUAAGUGUAAAGAUCUUGUAACCUUUCUUAUUUUGUAUAACGUAAACGGGACUUAGCUUUUGCGUGGCGUCGUUUUGAAAAGACAUGUUCCAGCUAUUUUAAAAUGUGAUCUUUGAGUCCUCCAGCAAUAAUCAGUUGCACAAUCUAUUAUAAAGAUCUAGCAGUGUGCAACAUCAUCUCCUCUUCUAAACAUUCUGUAAUACCUGUGAUACCCUAAACUGACACCACAAAUUAUACUUAAGUGUUUAUUCUGCUAGCUUGUUACAGAAAAUAACACUGUCAAAAUAAUUACAACGAUACUGCUAAUAUGGGAGAGAGUAUAGAAUCUACAACUUAAAAAUUUGAGCACUCAGAACUGCAGAACAUAGCAUGCUUGUAAGUUUUCUUUGCAUAUAUUCUUGCAGAUAGUAAAAAAGUUGUAGUUUAUGUUUCCUUUUUUGGUUCUUGUAUUGUUUCUCUUAUCUUUGACAAGCAUGGUAUACAGUUUGGUUGCAUUUUCUGCUCUUAUGUGUGCUUCUGCUAGGUACCAAUUCUGUUAUUCUUGUUCGUUCUCUAGAUUUUGUUUGCACCUAAUUCUUAAUUCUGUGUUUUCCUUCUCCGCUCUCUUACUAGGUGUUUGAGAAAAUUCCUCUUUCUGCUUUAAUCCUUUUCCCUCUGAUCAAAGCCUCAACUUAACUUGUGUCUUUCUCGGUUUACUUUGGUUUCUGCGGGUUUGGGUUGUAAGCGCUACUGAGUUCUCACUUCUUCUUUUCCUUCUAUGGGUGCUUGAAUGUUUAGUGCUUGACCAUAUGUGCUUAUUAUGAAUCUUCUUCAGUUAGUUCUCUUUGUCGUUUAAUAGAUGUACAUCCUCGAGAUGCACACUUUAUUGCAAAGUAUAUUGUUUUGCCUUUAAUUUUUUAUCAGAUGGCUUAAAUUGUUAAUUAUGUCUCAUAAAUAAGUGAUUCAUAGAAUUUUUCCCAUAUUUACCUUUGUAUUUUGGUGUAUAUACAGUUGGAUAAAAAGUUAAUAUAGCAAGUGUUAUUUUUCAGCUAACAUGUGCCUAUGUUUGUAAUAUGUUUGCUCCUUUUUCUCUUUGCAGGUACUCCCAGUUAUACGUGUGACUACUCUGGCUUUUCAGGAUAAGCUGAUUGCAAACUUUUUUGUAAAAUUGCUUACAUAAUUGAACGAUAAAAGAGGUGUGCCUACAACACAUUCGGAACAAAAGAACUAACUUAGCCUGCACAGUAUUUCAGGAAUAAAGAGCGCACCUGUGAAGCUGGAUAACAACUACAUCACAUAUUGGAAAGCACACGCUUGAAAUUGGUUAACCACCAACAGAGUAGCGGAUAAGAGGACCAGGCUGUGUAAAGAAAAUGGCAAAUAGUCACAGACUUUCUUAAGGAAUUUGCCUCAGCUCCAAUUUGUUCUGAGAAUAACCUUCUUAUUCGGACAACGGGUCCGAUCAAAAGGCAAUGCCAUACAGGGCGGAUGUAGUGUGUUACCAACGGGUUCAAUUGAAUCCAUUACUUUCGAUUCAGAAUAAGAUUUUUAUGUAAAUAUUCUUUAAAAUUGCAAAAAUAUAUGCAAAAAUUUAUUUUCUAAAAAGUAUUUUCUGAAAAAAUAUUCUAUGUAUGAUAUACUAGAAAUCGGUGAACCUAUGUAUGAAAUUUUAGCAUAUUAUGUUGGAACUCCAACAUACGGAAAGUUCCAGUAUAAUAUACUGGAGAUUGGAGCACCUGUGUAUGAACUUCCAGCAUAUUAUGUAGGACCGGUAUAUUAUACUGGAACUCCAGUAUAUUAUGCUGAAAGUCUAGUAUAUUUAUGCUGGAAUUCCAGUACUUUAUGUUGGAGUUCCAGUAUACUUGUGCUGGAACUCCGGUAUAAUAUACUUGAGUAUUUUUUCGGCAUGAAAAGUGGCUAAAUUUCAAUUACUUUUGAAACUAUGGCUAUUUUUGAAUGACCACUUGUAAAUCUAGUUAUUUUUGAAUUUCUCCCAAUUUAUUGAACAGUUCGAAGUGCUUAUUUGAUUGCUUGAAA